Non-coding RNA from Nelumbo nucifera (sacred lotus), 377 nucleotides. Lineage: Eukaryota; Viridiplantae; Streptophyta; Magnoliopsida; Proteales; Nelumbonaceae. The record is from RefSeq and is a predicted model, not a curated record.
UGUUCUUAUUUCCAAUAAAAUCCAUUGUGGUCGGUUUUUUUCUUAGGUUGUAUUUCUUGCUGCUAUGGAGAUUAUGGCUGAACAAUUUCCUGGAGCCUUUUCAGGUUAUUCUUUACAAAAGAGAAUGGACGUAAGAAUGCUCUACUCAAUUUUUCAAGGAUGAUUUGACACUCAAUUCGACAUGUCCCAUUCUAUGCAUCUCAAGUGUCAAAUAUCCAAGUUGGCCAAAGUCAGCCCUUACAAAUUCAACCAUCAUGUUAAAUGGAUUUUCAUUGGAAGACAUGUUGCAUUAUCCUGGAAUUUGGAUUAUUAUUUUUUAAAUUGUUGUACUUUUAUACAUCAAUUGGAUAUUGUAUUUAAACAAUUUGCUUUGAAUA